GGACGAACGCUGGCGGCGUGCUUAACACAUGCAAGUUGAACGAUGUCUUUAGAAGUAUCGAUACCGAAGAAGAUACCGAGUAGCGGACGGGUGAGUACAACACGAGAAGCUAUCCUUUAACGGGGGACAACGUUUGGAAACGAACGCUAAUACCCCAUACGCCGAGAGGUUAAAGCAGCGAUGCGAGAGAGGAGGUGCUCGUGCCCUAUCAGCUAGUUGGUGAGGUAACGGCUCACCAAUGCGAUGACGGGUAGCCGGCCUGAGAGGGCGACCGGCCACUCUGGAACUGAGAUACGGUCCAGACUCCUACGGGAGGCAGCAGUGGGGAAUAUUGGGCAAUGGGAGAAAUCCUGACCCAGCAACGCCGCGUGAACGAAGAAGGCCCUUGGGUCGUAAAGUUCUUUUGCGCGGGAAGAAAGCAAUGACGGUACCGCGCGAAUAAGCCCCGGCUAACUACGUGCCAGCAGCCGCGGUAAUACGUAGGGGGCGAGCGUUGUCCGGAAUUACUGGGCGUAAAGGGCACGCAGGCAGUGCCGUAAGUCGGCUGUUAAAAGAUGCGGCUUAACCGUGUUGUGCAGUCGAAACUGCGGUGCUAGAGUAUCGAAGAGGCAAGUGGAAUUCCCAGUGUAGCGGUGAAAUGCGUAGAUAUUGGGAAGAACAUCGGUGGCGAAGGCGACUUGCUGGUCGAUAACUGACGCUAAUGUGCGAAAGCCAGGGGAGCAAACGGGAUUAGAUACCCCGGUAGUCCUGGCUGUAAACGAUGAAUGCUGGGUGUGCGAGUAGAGAUACUGGCGUGCCGUAGCUAACGCGAUAAGCAUUCCGCCUGGGGAGUACGGUCGCAAGAUUGAAACUCAAAGGAAUUGACGGGGGCCCGCACAAGCGGUGGAGCACGUGGUUUAAUUCGAUGCAAA
This 911-nucleotide ribosomal RNA is filed under the name uncultured bacterium. RNAcentral describes it as "bacterial SSU rRNA". It matches the Rfam family "Bacterial small subunit ribosomal RNA", at positions 27 to 960 of the family's 1533-position model. The record is from RNAcentral.